UACGGAGGGGGCGAGCGUUAUUCGGAAUUAUUGGGCGUAAAGGGCGCGUAGGCGGCUUGAUGUGUCAAAGGUGAAAUCCCUCGGCUCAACUGAGGAACUGCCUUUGAAACUGUCUGGCUUGAGGCCGGGAGAGGGUAGCGGAAUUCCCAGUGUAGCAGUGAAAUGCGUAGAUACUGGGAGGAACACCGGUGGCGAAGGCGGCUACCUGGACCGGAACUGACGCUGAGGCGCGAAAGCGUGGGUAGCAAACAGG
This 253-nucleotide ribosomal RNA is filed under the name uncultured bacterium. Its description in RNAcentral is "partial 16S ribosomal RNA". It matches the Rfam family "Bacterial small subunit ribosomal RNA", at positions 524 to 776 of the family's 1533-position model. The record is from RNAcentral.